RNAcentral lists this long non-coding RNA (489 nucleotides) under Homo sapiens (human). RNAcentral describes it as "non-protein coding C5orf66-AS2:4". The record is from RNAcentral. Lineage: Eukaryota; Metazoa; Chordata; Mammalia; Primates; Hominidae.
CAGCCCUCUUGCCUGAGCAAUCUGACGCAGAGGCACAUGAGGAAUCAGCACGGAACCAUCGACCCACAGGGUUAAUCCCAAUGUCAAUACCUGCUAGAUGUCAGGGAUCCCCUGGGCUGCUGGCGAGCCAUUUGAAAUGACCCAUCUCCUGCCACCUUGGCCUGCUCCUCUGGGCCACCUCUCUCCACCUGCACUUGCUUACCGGAAGACGGCAAGGCCACCGGUGCACUUCGCAGUGCCAGGAGAAAGGCGCCUCAUGCUAUUAGCUCAAAUAAGGAAAAUCAUGCCGGGAAGAUUGAAUUUUCUGCAGACUUGUUUAACCUGGUGAUUUCUGAGCACUUGGCGCUGGCAGCCACGGGGGAGUGGGCUGCCAGCCGGCACUUUAUCAGCCACUUCUCAGGACUAUUCCUAAGCUUAUUAAAUCAGCAUGAGUCACUCCCUUGCCUUCCUCACAAGCAUGAAUCACGAAUCAUCAAAACCCAAGCAAAA